GACGAACGCUGGCGGCGUGCUUAACACAUGCAAGUCGAGCGAGGCCCUCCUUCGGGGGGUGCCCUAGCGGCGAACGGGUGAGUAACACGUGGGCAACCUGCCCUCAGCUCUGGGAUAACUCCAAGAAAUUGGUGCUAAUACCGGAUGUGACCGCUGACCGCAUGGUCUGGUGGUGGAAAGAUUUAUCGGCUGAGGAUGGGCCCGCGGCCUAUCAGCUUGUUGGUGGGGCACGGCCCACCAAGGCGACGACGGGUAGCCGGCCUGAGAGGGUGACCGGCCACACUGGGACUGAGACACGGCCCAGACUCUACGGGAGGCAGCAGUGGGGAAUUGUUCGCAAUGGGCGCAAGCCUGACGACGCAACGCCGCGUGGAGGAU
Molecule: ribosomal RNA, 378 nt
Filed under: uncultured bacterium
Lineage: Bacteria
Description: bacterial SSU rRNA
Rfam family: Bacterial small subunit ribosomal RNA
Source: RNAcentral